UGGGGAAUUUUGGACAAUGGGCGCAAGCCUGAUCCAGCAAUGCCGCGUGCAGGAUGAAGGCCUUCGGGUUGUAAACUGCUUUUGUACGGAGCGAAAAGGUCUGCCCUAAUACGGUGGGCUCAUGACGGUACCGUAAGAAUAAGCACCGGCUAACUACGUGCCAGCAGCCGCGGUAAUACGUAGGGUGCGAGCGUUAAUCGGAAUUACUGGGCGUAAAGCGUGCGCAGGCGGUUAUAUAAGACAGAUGUGAAAUCCCCGGGCUCAACCUGGGACCUGCAUUUGUGACUGUAUAGCUAGAGUACGGUAGAGGGGGAUGGAAUUCCGCGUGUAGCAGUGAAAUGCGUAGAUAUGCGGAGGAACACCGAUGGCGAAGGCAGGUUACUACUUGUGGAUUGACGCUGAUGGACGAAAGCGUGGGGAGCGAACA
RNAcentral lists this ribosomal RNA (427 nucleotides) under uncultured bacterium. RNAcentral's name for it is "bacterial SSU rRNA". It matches the Rfam family "Bacterial small subunit ribosomal RNA", at positions 355 to 774 of the family's 1533-position model. The record is from RNAcentral.